GCCAGAGUCGCUUAGAGGUUGAGCGUCAGCCUGCAGAGUUGAUGACGGGGGUUCAAGUCCCUCCUCUGGCU
Molecule: transfer RNA, 71 nt
Filed under: Promethearchaeota archaeon
Lineage: Archaea; Promethearchaeati; Promethearchaeota
Description: Candidatus Lokiarchaeota archaeon (microbial mat metagenome) tRNA-Cys
Rfam family: tRNA
About the family: Transfer RNA (tRNA) molecules are approximately 80 nucleotides in length. Their secondary structure includes four short double-helical elements and three loops (D, anti-codon, and T loops). Further hydrogen bonds mediate the characteristic L-shaped molecular structure. tRNAs have two regions of fundamental functional importance: the anti-codon, which is responsible for specific mRNA codon recognition, and the 3' end, to which the tRNAs corresponding amino acid is attached (by aminoacyl-tRNA synthetases). tRNAs cope with the degeneracy of the genetic code in two manners: having more than one tRNA (with a specific anti-codon) for a particular amino acid; and 'wobble' base-pairing, i.e. permitting non-standard base-pairing at the 3rd anti-codon position.
Source: RNAcentral